UACGGAGGGUGCGAGCGUUGUUCGGAUUCACUGGGCGUAAAGGGUGCGCAGGCGGCUGGGUGUGUCGGGUGUGAAAGCUUGAGGCUUAACCUCGAAACUGCGUUCGAAACUAUCCGGUUAGAGUACUGGAGAGGGAAGCGGAACUCACGGUGUAGCAGUGAAAUGCGUAGAUAUCGUGAGGAACACCAAUGGCGAAGGCAGCUUCUUGGACAGUUACUGACGCUCAGGCACGAAAGCGUGGGGAGCAAAAGGG
Molecule: ribosomal RNA, 253 nt
Filed under: uncultured bacterium
Lineage: Bacteria
Description: partial 16S ribosomal RNA
Rfam family: Bacterial small subunit ribosomal RNA
Source: RNAcentral